RNAcentral lists this ribosomal RNA (497 nucleotides) under uncultured bacterium. Its description in RNAcentral is "partial 16S ribosomal RNA". It matches the Rfam family "Bacterial small subunit ribosomal RNA", at positions 28 to 507 of the family's 1533-position model. The record is from RNAcentral.
GAUGAACGCUGGCGGCGUGCCUAAUACAUGCCAGUCGAGCGAACGGACGAGAAGCUUGCUUCUCUGAUGUUAGCGGCGGACGGGUGAGUAACACGUGGAUAACCUACCUAUAAGACUGGGAUAACUUCGGGAAACCGUAGCUAGUACCGGAUAAUAUUUUGAACCGCAUGGUUCAAAAGUGAAAGACGGUCUUGCUGUCACUUAUAGAUGGAUCCGCGCUGCAUUAGCUAGUUGGUAAGGUAACGGCUUACCAAGGCAACGAUGCAUAGCCGACCUGAGAGGGUGAUCGGCCACACUGGAACUGAGACACGGUCCAGACUCCUACGGGAGGCAGCAGUAGGGAAUCUUCCGCAAUGGGCGAAAGCCUGACGGAGCAACGCCGCGUGAGUGAUGAAGGUCUUCGGAUCGUAAAACUCUGUUAUUAGGGAAGGACAUAUGUGUAAGUAACUGUGCACAUCUUGACGGUACCUAAUCAGAAAGCCACGGCUAACUACGUG